RNAcentral lists this ribosomal RNA (496 nucleotides) under uncultured bacterium. RNAcentral's name for it is "partial 16S ribosomal RNA". It matches the Rfam family "Bacterial small subunit ribosomal RNA", at positions 28 to 507 of the family's 1533-position model. The record is from RNAcentral.
GAUGAACGCUGGCGGCGUGCCUAAUACAUGCAAGUCGAGCGGACGGACGCGGAGCUUGCUUUUCUGAUGUUAGCGGCGGACGGGAGUGUCACACGUGGAUAACCUACCUAUAAGACUGGGAUCACUUCGGGAAACCGGAGAUAAUACCGGAGAAUAUUUUGAACCGCAUGGGUCAAAGUGAAAGACGGUCGUGCUGUCACUUAUAGAUGGCUCCGCGCUGCGUUAGCUAGUUGGUAAGGUAACGACUUACCAAGGCAACGAGGCAUAGCCGACCUGAUAGGGGGAUCGGCCACCCGGGAGCGUAGACACGGACCAUACGCCUACGAGACGCAGCAGUAGGGAACCUUCCGCAAUGGUCGAAAGCCUUACGGAGUGGCGCCGCGUGUGUGAUGAAGGUCUUCGGAGCGUAAAACUCGGUUAUUAGGGAAGAACAUAUGUGUAAGGAACUGUGGACUGCUUGACGGUACCGAAUCAGAAAGCCACGGCUAACUACGUG